Molecule: ribosomal RNA, 497 nt
Filed under: uncultured bacterium
Lineage: Bacteria
Description: partial 16S ribosomal RNA
Rfam family: Bacterial small subunit ribosomal RNA
Source: RNAcentral
GAUGAACGCUGGCGGCGUGCCUAAUACAUGCAAGUCGAGCGAACAGAUAAGGAGCUUGCUCCUUUGACGUUAGCGGCGGACGGGUGAGUAACACUUGGAUAACCUACCUAUAAGACUGGGAUAACUUCGGGAAACCGGAGCUAAUACCGGAUAACAUAUUGAACCGCAUGGUUCAAUAGUGAAAGGCGGCUUUGCUGUCACUUAUAGAUGGAUCCGCGCCGUAUUAGCUAGUUGGUAAGGUAACGGCUUACCAAGGCAACGAUACGUAGCCGACCUGAGAGGGUGAUCGGCCACACUGGAACUGAGACACGGUCCAGACUCCUACGGGAGGCAGCAGUAGGGAAUCUUCCGCAAUGGGCGAAAGCCUGACGGAGCAACGCCGCGUGAGUGAUGAAGGUCUUCGGAUCGUAAAACUCUGUUAUCAGGGAAGAACAAAUGUGUAAGUAACUGUGCACAUCUUGACGGUACCUGAUCAGAAAGCCACGGCUAACUACGUG